This 750-nucleotide ribosomal RNA is filed under the name Streptomonospora sp. YIM 90554. RNAcentral describes it as "bacterial SSU rRNA". It matches the Rfam family "Bacterial small subunit ribosomal RNA", at positions 36 to 786 of the family's 1533-position model. Lineage: Bacteria; Bacillati; Actinomycetota; Actinomycetes; Streptosporangiales; Nocardiopsidaceae. The record is from RNAcentral.
CUGGCGGCGUGCUUAACACAUGCAAGUCGAGCGGUAAGGCCCUUCGGGGUACACGAGCGGCGAACGGGUGAGUAACACGUGAGCAACCUGCCCCUGACUCCGGGAUAAGCCGGGGAAACCCGGUCUAAUACCGGAUAGGACGUCUCGUCGCAUGGCGGGGCGUGGAAAGGUUUCUUUCCGGUCAGGGAGGGGCUCGCGGCCUAUCAGCUUGUUGGUGGGGUGAAGGCCUACCAAGGCGAUUACGGGUAGCCGGCCUGAGAGGGCGACCGGCCACACUGGGACUGAGACACGGCCCAGACUCCUACGGGAGGCAGCAGUGGGGAAUAUUGCGCAAUGGGCGGAAGCCUGACGCAGCGACGCCGCGUGGGGGAUGACGGCCUUCGGGUUGUAAACCUCUUUUACCACCGACGCAGGCCCGCGUUUCUGCGCGGGUUGACGGUAGGUGGGGAAUAAGGACCGGCCAACUACGUGCCAGCAGCCGCGGUAAUACGUAGGGUCCGAGCGUUGUCCGGAAUUAUUGGGCGUAAAGAGCUCGUAGGUGGCGUGUCGCGUCUGCUGUGUAAGUCCGGGGCUUAACUCCGGUUUGGCAGUGGAUACGGGCAUGCUAGAGGUAGGCAGGGGAGACUGGAAUUCCUGGUGUAGCGGUGAAAUGCGCAGAUAUCAGGAGGAACACCGGUGGCGAAGGCGGGUCUCUGGGCCUUACCUGACGCUGAGGAGCGAAAGCGUGGGGAGCGAACAGGAUUAGAUACC